UACGUAGGGUGCAAGCGUUAAUCGGAAUUACUGGGCGUAAAGCGUGCGCAGGCGGUUAUGUAAGACAGAUGUGAAAUGCCCGGGCUUAACCUGGGAACUGCAUUUGUGACUGCAUGGCUAGAGUGUGUCAGAGGGGGGUAGAAUUCCACGUGUAGCAGUGAAAUGCGUAGAAAUGUGGAGGAAUACCGAUGGCGAAGGCAGCCCCCUGGGAUAACACUGACGCUCAUGCACGAAAGCGUGGGGAGCAAACAGG
RNAcentral lists this ribosomal RNA (253 nucleotides) under uncultured bacterium. RNAcentral's name for it is "partial 16S ribosomal RNA". It matches the Rfam family "Bacterial small subunit ribosomal RNA", at positions 524 to 776 of the family's 1533-position model. The record is from RNAcentral.